Long non-coding RNA from Dermacentor andersoni, 2384 nucleotides. RefSeq lists it as uncharacterized. The record is from RefSeq and is a predicted model, not a curated record. Lineage: Eukaryota; Metazoa; Arthropoda; Arachnida; Ixodida; Ixodidae.
UUGGAGCGUACGCUUCGCUUCGUGAUUGCCAUGUGCACAGCACCAUGCAAUAUUUACUCCCCGUCUUGUCGCCACCGUGCCCAGACUUUCUCUUUUCGACGCUACCUGUAUAGAAGAAACAGCUGCAAGACGGGUUCCCAAAGGCGAACUCGGGAGGGCCUGGAGCGCCUGACAUCGUGGGAGGACUGGGAGACCGUGCUCCGCUCUGAGGACCCGGCAACGCAGACCAUCGCGACCAGCCGGGCUGCCAGUGUUAUGGACCUACGGAACAUAAACACUUGAGUGGAGUACGGUCGUGCGGGGGCCCAGGGGCCUACGUGGCCCGAACACCUCUGUUUAAAUAAAGUUUUUAACAACAACAACAGAGACCCGUUUUAAACGCUUGUAAACACGCACGUCUGUGUUCGCCUCGUCGGCCCAUUUGUGCAGAAGGCUUUGAGAUAAAUGGGCUCCCGUGACUACCUUUAAGAGGCGAGUCCCAUGGUCCAAGGCCCUCGGUUCCCUUUCUCCUCGUUAGAGAGGCCUCGAAUGCGGCAGCAGUGAUGUCUUCAGGUAGCAUGUGUGGGUUUAUUAACCAGUUGCCUACGCCCAAAAACAUCACGUGCACGUGACGCCUUCGACAAAAAAGGAUGUUCCACAUCCAACGUCAAGGCCGUGAGGUGUGGCGCUGGCUAACGCUCCCAGGCUUAGUUCUAGUAGAUAAACAUAAAUACUCCAGAAAGAGGAUACGAAAACGGCGCUGCGGCAGCUAAUUUGGUUACAGCAUCGCACGCGUAAUGCGAAGACGUGGGUUCGUGCCCCACCUGCGGCCAGUUCUUUUUUUCAUCCACUUUCAUUUCCAUUAAUUCACAAUUUCUUUAUUUCAAUUCAUAAGUGCAUGUAAUUUGCCCUAUGCCGUCCUAGCUUAGGUGUCUUUGUUUGUCGGCUUCUGGUGGUAUUCCCGUUAAAAGAAACGCGUGCAAUAUUCCUUUUAGUCGGUACAAGGACUUUCCAGCCAACUUACGAAGGACUUGUUUCCCGAGAUGGGAAUCCAGCAUUUUCUCAAGUCGGCGCGCGCCGCGUGAGCAGAAAGGACGUUACAGGUCUGAACCCUAUAGCAACGCACUCACCCCGACACGCGCGCACGUCGCGUCGUUCUGGGAUCGCGAGCACCGGUCGCACAUCAAUUUACUGAUACCUGCUCAGAUUGGCAUCCGACUCUAUAUGCGGAGAAGCGGCGUUGCGAAAGUUGUGCUGCUCCGCCAAUAACAGCUCGACCAAAGAAACAAAGCCAGACAGCACAUGCGCCAUUGUUCCUUAUCGACGAGGUCUCGCUCGCCCGCCAUCCAGGGACCGCACUGCAGCUCGGGCGAUGUCGCGAUUUCGGUCGGUUCUGACACCACGCGCUUCGAGUAUCAAAACGGCAACAAACACAACACGCGGCCCUAUAAAUAGACGAGACAAGGCCCCCGAUGGCAGGACACGCACAAUUCCCGAUAUUUAUGACGAAACGAGAGAGAAUCUAUCGGUUCAUUUUAGCGAAAACUUUCUGCCGCCCGAGUUACAGUGUAACAUUUCGCCGGGUAUAUACAUUGAGAAUACACGAAAAAGAACUCUUUCACAGCGUGUUGCCCAUUGAGAGACCCGUCCUGCACUUCCGAACGCUUCAACGUGAAGUCGGCACACUUUCGUUUUAUUUUCUUUUCUUUUUUUUCUUUGGCGUGCGUGCAUUAAAGCACUGCAAUAGAAAGGAACGCUUGAGCAACUGGACAUGCCCUAUACUAACAGGACAGGGACUUCAAUAAGACCCCGUCUUGUGGCUGUCGCUUUAGUUCUAGUCUCUUGCGCUUUAAGAGACUCGCAAAGAAUUUCACUCCUCGUCAUCUUGCUGUUGCAUCCAGGUAUAAAAAAGGACCCGAACGAAAGACUUCGUGAAUAUAUUCCCAGGUUGCGAGUAUGAACGUCGACUUCCGCCAGUUGUAUCUUUUCGUUUUCUUUUUUUUUUUUUCUGAACGCGUGUACAAUGUCUUACGUUAUCGGAAGUCCCCUAGCUUCACGGAAAUUUCCUCCCCAUGUGCCGACAAGAAGCCGUAUUAGUGUGGCCACGUCACGAACGCAGGCGAAAACUGUACGCAGUGCAACGAACUGCACAGAACUCGUGCACAGACACAUGCACUCACGCGCUCAGACACGCGGAAAUUACUUGUGAAACAAUGCGAACCUUCGCCGUCCUUUCACUCGAGCAUGCAGCGCAAAGAGCGGCUCCCUCUCCUGAAGUCUGCUGCCAAAUACUGUAGGGGCAGGGGCCUUUGUCAAGCCGCUUAAAAUAGCGGCUUUUUGCUCCUGUCCUAGCAUUUGUACAUCUAAAGUUGAAUGCUGAAAUAAAGGAAUGGAAUGGAAUGGAA